Xenopus laevis (African clawed frog) is the source of this 513-nucleotide long non-coding RNA. RefSeq lists it as uncharacterized. The transcript is spliced from 3 exons. NCBI's taxonomy places the organism in Eukaryota, Metazoa, Chordata, Amphibia, Anura, Pipidae. The record is from RefSeq and is a predicted model, not a curated record.
UUCACACCUGCCCAUUAACACCUGGGAGUUUUUUUUGGCUUCUCCAUUGUUCAUAUAAUUACAUCUUUAUCUGAACAGUGUAAGAGAGCCAGGGGUUCCUUAGGGAGACCCCCCUUGGGGUGGCCCGGCCUUGUGCCGCCCCCUAUUUUUUCUCCCCCCAUCGGAGAAUCUUCAUUAAGAGGUUUCAACGAUGGACAAGAAGCAGAGAAAUCCAUCUCUUCUGACGCUGUACUCCGUCCUGAAGGACUUCAGGGCGGAAUUUACGGACUUUGAGGCCCUCGCUUCUUAUUAUGGUAAAAUCCUCUAUUAUUUAUCAGUUCCUAAGGUUGUGCCAUUGUUUUAUUAUUUGUGAAUUCCUUUCCCCCUUUAGCUCAGUAUUUAACUGAAUUGUGUUUUUCCCGCAGAACAUCACUACCGGGUCGAAUUCGGCGAGAACAUUGUCCUGUAAGUAAAACAUAAAUGGACUUGUUACAUGUUGGGAAUCAUUUGCUAUUGCCCCAGGGGUAACUGCAA